Molecule: small nuclear RNA, 107 nt
Organism: Bison bison bison
Lineage: Eukaryota; Metazoa; Chordata; Mammalia; Artiodactyla; Bovidae
Source: Ensembl
GUGCUCACUUUGGCAGCACAUAUACUUAAAUUGGAACGAUACAAAGAAGAUUAGCAUGGCCCCUGCUCAAGGAUGACAUGCAAAUUGGUGAAGCAUUUCAUGUUUUU